CCUACGGGGGGCAGCAGUGGGGAAUAUUGCACAAUGGGGGAAACCCUGACGCAGCGACGCCGCGUGAGUGAAGAAGUAUUUCGGUACGUAAAGCUCUAUCAGUAGGGAAGAAAAUGACGGUACCUGACUAAGAAGCCCUUGCUAACUACGUGCCAGCAGCCGCGGUAAUACGUAGGGGGCAAGCGUUAUCCGGAUUUACUGGGUGUAAAGGGAGCGUAGACGGCUGCGCAAGUCUGAAGUGAAAUGCCGGGGCUUAACCCCGGAGCUGCUUUGGAAACUGUGCAGCGAGAGUGCAGGAGAGGAAAGUGGAAUUCCAUGUGUAGCGGUGAAAGGCGUAGAUAUUAGGAGGAACACCAGUGGCGAAGGCGACUUACUGGUCUGUAACUGACGUUGAGGCUCGAAAGCGUGGGGAGCAAACAGGAUUAGAUACCCGAGUAGUC
Molecule: ribosomal RNA, 440 nt
Filed under: uncultured bacterium
Lineage: Bacteria
Description: partial 16S ribosomal RNA
Rfam family: Bacterial small subunit ribosomal RNA
Source: RNAcentral